UGAGGAAUAUUGGUCAAUGGACGAGAGUCUGAACCAGCCAAGUAGCGUGCAGGAUGACGGCCCUAUGGGUUGUAAACUGCUUUUGUUUGGGAAUAAUCGACAUUACGUGUAAUGUUUUGCAUGUACCAUUCGAAUAAGGACCGGCUAAUUCCGUGCCAGCAGCCGCGGUAAUACGGAAGGUCCAGGCGUUAUCCGGAUUUAUUGGGUUUAAAGGGAGUGUAGGCGGUUGGUUAAGCGUGUUGUGAAAUGUAGAUGCUCAACAUCUGACUUGAAGCGCGAACUGGCUGACUUGAGUACAAAAAACGUAGGCGGAAUUCAUGGUGUAGCGGUGAAAUGCUUAGAUAUCAUGAAGAACUCCGAUUGCGAAGGCAGCUUACGGGAGUGUUACUGACGCUUAAGCUCGAAGGUGCGGGUAUCGAACAGG
Molecule: ribosomal RNA, 424 nt
Filed under: Verrucomicrobiota bacterium
Lineage: Bacteria; Pseudomonadati; Verrucomicrobiota
Description: Verrucomicrobia bacterium partial 16S ribosomal RNA
Rfam family: Bacterial small subunit ribosomal RNA
Source: RNAcentral